GAUGAACGCUGGCGGCGUGCCUAAUACAUGCAAGUCGAGCGAACAGACGAGGAGCUGCCCCUUCUGACGUUUGGGGCGAGGGGGGGUGAAACAUGGGAACACCUCCCGUAUAGGCGGGGAUCACUUCGGGAAACCGGUGCUUAUCGCAGACAAUAUAUUGAAGCAGACGGGUGAAUUAGGGAAGACGGUUUUUCCUGUUGCUAUAGGAUGGUCCGCGCCGCAUUUGCUAGUUGGGUAGGUAACGGCCUACCAAGGCAACGAUGCGUAGCCGACCUGAGAGGGGGACCGGCCACACUGGAACUGAGACACGGUCCAGACUCCUACGGGAGGCAGCAGUAGGGAAUCUUCCACAAUGGGCGAAAGCCUGACGGAGCAACGCCGCGUGAGUGAUGAAGGUCUUCGGAUCGUAAAACUCUGUUAUUAGGGAAGAACAAAUUUGUAAGUAACUAUGCACGUCUUGACGGUACCUAAUCAGAAAGCCACGGCUAACUACGUG
This 496-nucleotide ribosomal RNA is filed under the name uncultured bacterium. RNAcentral describes it as "partial 16S ribosomal RNA". It matches the Rfam family "Bacterial small subunit ribosomal RNA", at positions 28 to 507 of the family's 1533-position model. The record is from RNAcentral.